AGAGUUUGAUCCUGGCUCAGGAUGGACGCUAGCUACAGGCUUAACACAUGCAAGUCGAGGGAAACGACAUCGAAAGCUUGCUUUUGAUGGGCGUCGACCGGCGCACGGGUGAGUAACGCGUAUCCAACCUGCCCACCACUUGAGGAUAACCUUGCGAAAGUAAGACUAAUACCCAAUGAUAUCUCUAGAAGACAUCUGAAAGAGAUUAAAGAUUUAUCGGUGAUGGAUGGGGAUGCGUCUGAUUAGCUUGUUGGCGGGGUAACGGCCCACCAAGGCAACGAUCAGUAGGGGUUCUGAGAGGAAGGUCCCCCACAUUGGAACUGAGACACGGUCCAAACUCCUACGGGAAGCAGCA
This 355-nucleotide ribosomal RNA is filed under the name uncultured bacterium. RNAcentral describes it as "bacterial SSU rRNA". It matches the Rfam family "Bacterial small subunit ribosomal RNA", at positions 8 to 353 of the family's 1533-position model. The record is from RNAcentral.